RNAcentral lists this long non-coding RNA (327 nucleotides) under Homo sapiens (human). RNAcentral describes it as "HSALNT0344423". Lineage: Eukaryota; Metazoa; Chordata; Mammalia; Primates; Hominidae. The record is from RNAcentral.
ACUCACAGGAGGGGCUGCACCACCCUGGGGCGUUUUCAGGAACAUUGGCUCACCCUCUAUCAGUGUCAGUGAUAAUGCUGGGAUAAAACACCACAGCAUGCUUUCAUGAAGCAAGCCGCCAUGUUGGAGCAGCCCUCCUGGAAAAGAGCUGAGGAUGGCCUCUGGCCAACAGCCAGUGAGAAACUGAAUUCUGCCAACAGCCAUGUGAGUGAGCUUGGAUGCAGAUCCUUCCCCAGUCAAGUCUCAGAUGAGACCACAGCCCUGGAUGACACCUUGUCUACAGACUUGUGAGACCCAGAAACAGAGGACCUGGUUGAGCCAUGCCUG